CCUACGGGAGGCAGCAGUGAGGAAUAUUGGUCAAUGGACGAGAGUCUGAACCAGCCAAGUAGCGUGAAGGAUGACUGCCCUAUGGGUUGUAAACUUCUUUUAUAUGGGAAUAAAACGUUCCACGUGUGGGAUUUUGUAUGUACCAUAUGAAUAAGGAUCGGCUAACUCCGUGCCAGCAGCCGCGGUAAUACGGAGGAUCCGAGCGUUAGCCGGAUUUAUUGGGUUUAAAGGGAGCGUAGGUGGAUUGUUAAGUCAGUUGUGAAAGUGUGCGGCUCAACCGUAAAAUUGCAGUUGAAACUGGCAGUCUUGAGUACAGUAGAGGUGGGCGGAAUUCGUGGUGUAGCGGUGAAAUGCUUAGAUAUCACGAAGAACUCCGAUUGCGAAGGCAGUUCACUGGACUGCAACUGACACUGAGGCUCGAAAGUGUGGGUAUCAAACAGGAUUAGAUACCCCGGUAGUC
This 460-nucleotide ribosomal RNA is filed under the name uncultured bacterium. RNAcentral's name for it is "partial 16S ribosomal RNA". It matches the Rfam family "Bacterial small subunit ribosomal RNA", at positions 338 to 795 of the family's 1533-position model. The record is from RNAcentral.